This 510-nucleotide ribosomal RNA is filed under the name Triticum aestivum (bread wheat). RNAcentral's name for it is "partial small subunit ribosomal RNA". The record is from RNAcentral. Lineage: Eukaryota; Viridiplantae; Streptophyta; Magnoliopsida; Poales; Poaceae.
AUGGGUGUUGGCUCGAACAACUCUCGUUGGUCUCAAUCCAAUGAUGCGCAUUUCAAUGAUCAUGAAUUUGAGGUGGACGAGGAUGGUGAGGGUAUCGUCGAUGCGCCGAAAGGAAGAGCGGGAAACUACACCAUGGACAAAGACAUCUUGCUAUGCAAUAUAUGGUUGCAACUGUCGCGGGGUGCCACCAUUGGAGGCUACCAUGGGCGGCAUAGGAGGCAUGGGGGGCCAUGGGCAGCAUUGGUGGCUUCAGAGCUACCAUGGGAGGCAUGACUUUUGCGUCUCUCAUGGGAGGCAUGGGAGCACCUCUGGGUGACAUGGGUGGACGCAUGUCUUUCGGUAUGCCUCACAUGCCUUCGCAUGAUGCCGGUGGAGAUCUUGCCAACGCCUUCCGAGCUCCCCACAAUGAAGAGGAGGAGGAAGAAUCGUCUUCGGAGGAUGAAGAAUCGGAGGAAGAGGAGGACGAAGAUGAGGAUGAGGCAUGGGUUGGUGUGCCAUUUGUUUGUGUGA